RNAcentral lists this ribosomal RNA (833 nucleotides) under Bacillus tequilensis. RNAcentral's name for it is "bacterial SSU rRNA". It matches the Rfam family "Bacterial small subunit ribosomal RNA", at positions 38 to 865 of the family's 1533-position model. The record is from RNAcentral. Lineage: Bacteria; Bacillati; Bacillota; Bacilli; Caryophanales; Bacillaceae.
AAGGGGGGGUGCUAUACAUGCAAGUCGAGCGGACAGAUGGGAGCUUGCUCCCUGAUGUUAGCGGCGGACGGGUGAGUAACACGUGGGUAACCUGCCUGUAAGACUGGGAUAACUCCGGGAAACCGGGGCUAAUACCGGAUGGUUGUUUGAACCGCAUGGUUCAAACAUAAAAGGUGGCUUCGGCUACCACUUACAGAUGGACCCGCGGCGCAUUAGCUAGUUGGUGAGGUAACGGCUCACCAAGGCAACGAUGCGUAGCCGACCUGAGAGGGUGAUCGGCCACACUGGGACUGAGACACGGCCCAGACUCCUACGGGAGGCAGCAGUAGGGAAUCUUCCGCAAUGGACGAAAGUCUGACGGAGCAACGCCGCGUGAGUGAUGAAGGUUUUCGGAUCGUAAAGCUCUGUUGUUAGGGAAGAACAAGUACCGUUCGAAUAGGGCGGUACCUUGACGGUACCUAACCAGAAAGCCACGGCUAACUACGUGCCAGCAGCCGCGGUAAUACGUAGGUGGCAAGCGUUGUCCGGAAUUAUUGGGCGUAAAGGGCUCGCAGGCGGUUUCUUAAGUCUGAUGUGAAAGCCCCCGGCUCAACCGGGGAGGGUCAUUGGAAACUGGGGAACUUGAGUGCAGAAGAGGAGAGUGGAAUUCCACGUGUAGCGGUGAAAUGCGUAGAGAUGUGGAGGAACACCAGUGGCGAGCGACUCUCUGGUCUGUACUGACGCUGAGAGCGAAAGCGUGGGGAGCGAACAGAUAGAUACCUUGUAGUUCACGCGUAACGAUGAUGCUAAUGUAAGGGGUUUCGCCCAUAAGUGCUGCAGCUAACGCCAUUAAG